CCAGACUCCUACGGGAGGCAGCAGUGGGGAAUAUUGCACAAUGGGGGAAACCCUGAUGCAGCGACGCCGCGUGAGCGAUGAAGUAUUUCGGUAUGUAAAGCUCUAUCAGCAGGGAAGAAAAUGACGGUACCUGACUAAGAAGCCCCGGCUAACUACGUGCCAGCAGCCGCGGUAAUACGUAGGGGGCAAGCGUUAUCCGGAUUUACUGGGUGUAAAGGGAGCGUAGACGGCGGUGCAAGCCAGAUGUGAAAGCCCGGGGCUCAACCCCGGGACUGCAUUUGGAACUGUGCUGCUAGAGUGUCGGAAAGGCAGGCGGAAUUCCUAGUGUAGCGGUGAAAUGCGUAGAUAUUAGGAGGAACACCAGUGGCGAAGGCGGCCUGCUGGACAGUAACUGACGCUGAGGCGCGAAAGCGUGGGGAGCAAACAGGAUUAGAUACCCUUGUAA
RNAcentral lists this ribosomal RNA (445 nucleotides) under uncultured bacterium. RNAcentral's name for it is "bacterial SSU rRNA". It matches the Rfam family "Bacterial small subunit ribosomal RNA", at positions 331 to 793 of the family's 1533-position model. The record is from RNAcentral.